This 278-nucleotide ribosomal RNA is filed under the name uncultured bacterium. Its description in RNAcentral is "partial 16S ribosomal RNA". It matches the Rfam family "Bacterial small subunit ribosomal RNA", at positions 506 to 784 of the family's 1533-position model. The record is from RNAcentral.
UGCCAGCCGCCGCGGUAAUACGGAGGGGGUUAGCGUUGUUCGGAAUUACUGGGCGUAAAGCGCGCGUAGGCGGAGUAUUAAGUCUCAUGUGAAAGCCCUGGGCUCAACCUGGGAACUGCAUGGGAUACUGGUAUUCUAGAAUACAGUAGAGGGAGGUGGAAUUUCAGGUGUAGCGGUGAAAUGCGUAGAGAUCUGAGGAACACCGAUGGCGAAGGCAUCUCUCUGGGUCGAUAUUGACGCUGAGGCGCGAAGGCGUGGGUAGCGAACGGGAUUAGAUA